Molecule: transfer RNA, 65 nt
Filed under: Auritibicen japonicus
Lineage: Eukaryota; Metazoa; Arthropoda; Insecta; Hemiptera; Cicadidae
Description: tRNA-Leu
Source: RNAcentral
AUUACUUUGACAGAUUAAUGUGUUAAAUUUAGAAUUUAAAAAAGUAAUUUAUAUUACAGGUAAUA